UAACUGUAGUUGGAAGUACUGGCUACACUAAGGACCUUGAUAGCGAAGCCAAAGGGGUUGCACAAACUUUUGCUUGAAAAUGUUAUUGUUUUUUUAUUUGCAAUAUCAUUAACUUGCAUCCUAAUUAUGAUGGUGGGAAUAAAUAAGUUAGGUUGAGAAUUGCAAAACCAAACUAUAAUUUAGUUAUCAAUUUAAUUAUUUGGAUUUUUUUGUCUUUCUGUUUUGAACUAACACUACCAAUUUAAUUCUAGAACUUCUAUUUUUUUCUCUUGCAUAAUUUCCCAAGAAAAUGAUUAGAUUCUAUUGAGGGGUUUUUAUUGGUUCCGUGGCACCCACUAUUUUAAUUUAUUGAGUCAUACCAAAUACCUGAUAGUACUUCAUGUUUAUAAUUUUCUCCAUUUGAUUUCUAUAGCUGAUUUUUCUGUUUGAUGAUAUAUAUAUUUAUUUUUGAAUAAAACGUCCAAAGAUUUACUGCUUUCUUGUGCUCAAAUAAUCUCAUCAUAAUUGAUACCAUUAUUAGUAAAACAUCAAAUAAUACAACAUGUGUAUGCAUUAAGAAAAUGAGCACACUAAAAUAGAAUGGAAUUAUGUAGAAAUUGUUGAUGGUGGUGUUGUUAUUAUUCUUACUGCAUCUGUUCACCUUGCCAUGUCCAAACAAUGUCUUUUAAAGCUGGUCUUAUAUCCUUUUUCAUUAUUGUAUUGUAUUCCAAUGUAUCACCACUGGACUUGCUUACUUCAACCAGGUGAAAGGAGGGUGGGAAUUCAUAUAUCUCAGCUUGAAUUGAAAUUGGUCCUUUUCUACCUUUGAUCCCUCCAUUUUCAGGGACCCCCUGUCCUUUUCUGUUUGAUGAUAUUUGAAAGAAAAUGGUGAUUUGGUGGCUGUUAAAGUGCAAAGGCCCUUUGUUCUUGAGACUGUAACAGUUGAUUUGUUCAUCAUACGAAAUUUGGGACUAGUUGCUCACAAGUUUCCCCAGAUCUCUGUAGAUGUUGUUGGACUGGUUGAUGAAUGGGCAGCCCGUUUCUUUGAGGAGCUAGAUUAUGUUAAUGAGGGUGAAAAUGGAAUGUGUUUUGCUGAAAUGAUGAAAAAAAGACCUUCCACAGGUAUAUUGAGAUGUCUUUCUUUGGAGCAAUGCUAGACAAAGUUUGUGGUUGAAGUUUUUAGAAUUAAAGAAUGUAUUUUACCAACUUUGUAUACAUUUCCUAAAUUGUACCGGUCCUCAAAAAUAUAUUUGUACAAUUUUAAGGGUGUUUUAAGUAUAUUAAAUUAAGCAG
This is a long non-coding RNA of Humulus lupulus (European hop), 1272 nucleotides long. RefSeq lists it as uncharacterized. The record is from RefSeq and is a predicted model, not a curated record. Lineage: Eukaryota; Viridiplantae; Streptophyta; Magnoliopsida; Rosales; Cannabaceae. The transcript has 3 exons.